RNAcentral lists this ribosomal RNA (499 nucleotides) under uncultured bacterium. RNAcentral describes it as "bacterial SSU rRNA". It matches the Rfam family "Bacterial small subunit ribosomal RNA", at positions 30 to 509 of the family's 1533-position model. The record is from RNAcentral.
AUUGAACGCUGGCGGCAUGCCUUACACAUGCAAGUCGAACGGCAGCACAAGGAGCUUGCUCCUGGGUGGCGAGUGGCGAACGGGUGAGUAAUGUAUCGGAACGUGCCCAGUAGUGGGGGAUAACUACUCGAAAGAGUGGCUAAUACCGCAUGAGAUCUCUGGAUGAAAGUGGGGGACCGUAAGGCCUCACGCUACUGGAGCGGCCGAUAUCAGAUUAGGUUGUUGGUGGGGUAAAGGCCUACCAAGCCUGCGAUCUGUAGCUGGUCUGAGAGGACGACCAGCCACACUGGGACUGAGACACGGCCCAGACUCCUACGGGAGGCAGCAGUGGGGAAUUUUGGACAAUGGGCGCAAGCCUGAUCCAGCAAUGCCGCGUGCAGGAUGAAGGCCUUCGGGUUGUAAACUAGCUUUUGUUACGGUAACGAAAAGGACGUCUGGUUAAUACCUGGAGUUUAUGUACGGUACCGUAACGAAUAAGACACCGGCGUAACUACGUGCC